GGUAGAUAGGCUAGAAGUGGAAGUUGAGUGAUCAAUGAAGCGGACUAGUACUAAUAGGUCGAGGACUUAACCAA
RNAcentral lists this ribosomal RNA (74 nucleotides) under Leuconostoc pseudomesenteroides 4882. RNAcentral describes it as "Large Subunit Ribosomal RNA; lsuRNA; LSU rRNA". The record is from RNAcentral. Lineage: Bacteria; Bacillati; Bacillota; Bacilli; Lactobacillales; Lactobacillaceae.